AGCCUAAAGUAGUAAAUUAUAGGUUAAGCCUGCCCGGUGUAAUUAUAUAAACGGCCGCGGUACUUUGACCGUGCUAAGGUAGCGCAAUCAAUUGGCUUUUAAUUGUAGUCAUGUAUGAAUGGAUUAACAGGGUUUAGCUGUCUCUUAUCCAUUUUAUUAAAAUUACUAUAUAGGUGAAAAAGCCUAAAUAUUCAAAAAAGACGAGAAGACCCUUAGAGUUUAUCUGAAUUUAGUUUAUUAUUAAAUUUGUUUAGUUGGGGCAACAAAGGAAAAUAAACAUCCUUUUUAUAUAAAUCGGUUAUUACAGUUAAGUUAAAACUACCUUAGGGAUAACAGCAUAAUUUUAUAAGUAAGUUUGUGACCUCGAUGUUGGACUAGGAAAUUUAAUGGUUAGAUGUUAUUAAAUUUGGUUCUGUUCGAACUUGAUUUCCU
Molecule: ribosomal RNA, 432 nt
Filed under: Murphydoris puncticulata
Lineage: Eukaryota; Metazoa; Mollusca; Gastropoda; Nudibranchia; Goniodorididae
Description: Murphydoris sp. p SPS-2021 partial large subunit ribosomal RNA
Rfam family: Archaeal large subunit ribosomal RNA
Source: RNAcentral